GAAAUGCGAUAAGUAGUGUGAAUUGCAGAAUUCAGUGAAUCAUCGAAUCUUUGAACGCACAUUGCGCCCCUUGGUACUCCAUGGGGCAUGCCUGUUCGAGCGUCAUUUACACCCUCAAGCUCAGCUUGGUGUUGGGCGUCUGUCCCGCUUCGUGCGCGGACUCGCCUCAAAUGCAUUGGCAGCGGUCUUGCCAGCUUCUCGCGCAGCACAUUGCGCUUCUAGAGGCUUUGGCGGAUCGGCGUCCAUCAAGUACACCCACAGUUUGACCUCGGAUCAGGUAGGGAUACCCGCUGAACUUAA
RNAcentral lists this unclassified non-coding RNA (300 nucleotides) under uncultured fungus. RNAcentral describes it as "sequence contains ITS1". The stretch from base 1 to 105 matches the Rfam family "5.8S ribosomal RNA", at positions 50 to 154 of the family's 154-position model. RNAcentral also lists the same sequence under 1 other name. Lineage: Eukaryota; Fungi. The record is from RNAcentral.